Molecule: unclassified non-coding RNA, 953 nt
Filed under: Hevea brasiliensis (rubber tree)
Lineage: Eukaryota; Viridiplantae; Streptophyta; Magnoliopsida; Malpighiales; Euphorbiaceae
Source: RNAcentral
AGAGCACCAAAUACAUGGGGCAGCAGCAGCAAAGAUCUGGAACGCCAUGGAAGUAACAGAAGGAGCUCGCCACAGCCUUACCGCCAAUAUUCCCUAUUCCUCCCUCACCGUUGAUCAUUCUCUCUCUAUUACUCAUCUUAAGCCUAAAAUCGUAGAACUGUGCAAGGACUUGUUCAACCAAUGGUCAAAUCUAGAUGGUUCUCACUUCUCUGUAGAGACUGUGUCUGGUGGCAUCACAAAUCUAUUGCUAAAAGUAUCUGUAAGAGAAGAUGACGGAAAGCAUGAAAAUAUGACAGUUAGGUUAUAUGGUCCAAAUACUGAAUAUGUCAUUAACCGUGAACGAGAAAUGCAGGCGAUUCAACACCUCUCAGCGGCUGGGUUUGGUGCCAAGUUGCUUGCAGUAUUUGGGAAUGGCAUGGUUCAGUCAUUUAUUGAUGCACGUACUUUAACGCCCCCAGACAUGAGCAACCCAAAGCUUGCUGCUGAAAUUGCAAAGCAACUCCGAAAGUUCCAUCAGGUAGAAAUUCCGGGCUCCAAAGAACCUCAAGUGUGGAAUGAUGUGCUCAAGUUCUACAAAAAUGCAUCAACUCUCCAAUUUGAUGAUGGUGAGAAGAAGAUAAAGUAUGAGACAAUUUUGUUCCCGGAAGUUCAUAAUGAAAUCAUAGAGCUCAAGGAAUUGACUGACCGUCUUAACGCCCCAGUGGUGUUUGCUCACAAUGACUUACUCUCUGGAAAUCUGAUGCUUAAUGAGGAGAAAGAAAAGCUGUAUUUCAUUGAUUUUGAGUAUGGAUCCUACAAUUACAGGGGAUUUGACAUAGGGAAUCACUUCAAUGAAUAUGCUGGCUACGAUUGUGAUUACAGCUUAUAUCCAAAUAAGGAUCAGCAGUUUCAUUUCUUCAGGCACUAUUUGGAUUCUGACCAACCGAAUAAGGUAUCUGACAAGGACCUUGAAG